UUCCGUGUGGCUCAGUUGGUAGAGCAUGGUGUUUGCAACGCCAGGGUUGUGGGUUCGAUUCCCACGGGGGAAC
This 73-nucleotide transfer RNA is filed under the name Salmo salar (Atlantic salmon). It matches the Rfam family "tRNA". From Rfam's summary of the family: Transfer RNA (tRNA) molecules are approximately 80 nucleotides in length. Their secondary structure includes four short double-helical elements and three loops (D, anti-codon, and T loops). Lineage: Eukaryota; Metazoa; Chordata; Actinopteri; Salmoniformes; Salmonidae. The record is from Rfam by way of RNAcentral.